CUCUGCUUUGGUGGUUGGCUGAUGUUCUCGGUUAAGGGGUUUAUUGUCUGGUUCAAGGCCUCCUGCUGUCCUACAUCACAUUUUUUUUCUUUGUUCUGAAUUAUUGAUGGAUGUGUGUGUGCAUGAUGCAUGGCUGGUGGUGACCUCGGACCAGGCUUCAUUCCCUUUAACCAGCAUUUGCGUUAAUACCAUCAGGCA
This 198-nucleotide microRNA precursor is filed under the name Oryza sativa Indica Group (long-grained rice). RNAcentral's name for it is "osa-MIR166m". The stretch from base 31 to 171 matches the Rfam family "mir-166 microRNA precursor family". Rfam says of the family: This family represents the plant microRNA (miRNA) precursor mir-166. Animal miRNAs are transcribed as ~70nt precursors and subsequently processed by the Dicer enzyme to give a ~22nt product. The record is from RNAcentral. Lineage: Eukaryota; Viridiplantae; Streptophyta; Magnoliopsida; Poales; Poaceae.